Long non-coding RNA from Anas platyrhynchos (mallard), 3216 nucleotides. RefSeq lists it as uncharacterized. The record is from RefSeq and is a predicted model, not a curated record. NCBI's taxonomy places the organism in Eukaryota, Metazoa, Chordata, Aves, Anseriformes, Anatidae.
UAAGCAUGUAAAGUCGGUCUCUCGGAAAAAAAUCCUUUUUCAUGCAUAUGCAUUAAAACAUGUUCGCAAUUAUCCUCGGAAAUUGCCUUCAUUGGAUUAAGCAGCAGUCUUGGACGUGGGUUCUGGUCUUCCCUGUGCCUUUAUUAAAGCUCUGAGCAGCGCUGGCUGCAGCAGCAGAGGCGGAGUGUUUGUUUAAACAAUGUUUACCAAAGAAAGGCGAAGGCGCUGCACUGUGGUGCGUGCGUGUGUGUGUAUGUGUGUGUUUUAACAACAAAAGGCAAAACUCCGCUGGAAACGCUUCUGCGGGUUCUCCGGCAGAUCCAGUCUCUCUUCUAUAGACAGAGGCAGCAACUCGCUUCAUGAGAGCACUUAAUGUUUGCCUAGGACGCAAUUAAUUACUGGCCUCGAAGGGAGACUUCGGAUGAGUGUCCUUUACUUGGACUCCGUUUAGGGCUCUUGACUCAUUAUCUAUGAGUGGUCUUUGUAGGAGGAAUAUCAGAUGCGCAGGGCUGACACUCGGCUUUUACAUGCUGCGUGGUACAAUGGACGCAGUGGCAGGGGGAAGUACUAAUUACCUUAAGACUAGCUAAUAACGCAGCUUUCCAACGCCACCUCUCACGGGCUGAAGUUAGCAAUCAGCGAGAAAAUCAUCAUCAGAAGCUGCGGAGAAAUCACGGGCGCGCAUGGAUUUGGACAGGUCUGUGCUAAUGGAAGCAGGGCGCGCACACACAUCAGCGGAGGGAAGAUUAGGGGCGAUCCAGCAUUUCGGGAGGACUUUAAACAGCAGCUCCCCGCCCGCCCGAGCCAUCGGGCCGGGGAGCAGCCUCCUUCCCCAGGCACCCGGGGACUUUUUGGAGGUGUCGGCACCGCUUCACCACGCAGCCGUCACAGGGCUCGCCGCCUGCCUCUGUGCCAGCAAGGCCUCGGCGGGACAGGAGUGCGGAUGCAGACCCGCCUCAAAGCCCCUCGCCGCGGGGCUACAGGACAGCGAGUGCCGGCCCGUGGGCGGGACGGGGCAGACGUGGUCACUAACUCCUCACCUCGAACAUGAACAGAAAGGGGUCCUUUCCCUUCUGCUCCGUCAGCUGGCGAAGCCAGUUCGUUUUAAUCAAUCCCCAACUAAAUGAUAAAACCAGAAACGACCCCGCUUUUCCAUGAAGGGAAAGCAUAUAUGUAUUUUAACGAUUUGGGUUGAUUUCCUUACGAGACGAGGACAGGAAGCUGCAGCUCCCCUUUCUCUGCAGCCUCGACCCCUCGGCCGCCGCCUUUCCCGGCAGGCGAGCUCCCGUCCCCGCUCCCCUUUCUCCUCCGGGGCCGGGGGGGCUCAUGCCCCAGCGCCCCCCUCCCUGCCCCGCUCGGGAUAGGGCCGCACUGGGACCUUCCUUCUGGGAAGGGGGCUCCAAGCUCCUGCCCUGGGGGGCGGCCGGGGCACCUCGAUCUUUCCCCGGAGGAACGGGCGGCUCCUUGCGCCCCGUCCGAGCGGGCCCCCGUCUGCUCCACCCUGGACCCCGCGCUGCGGCUUCUCCAGCACCAAACUCAAUUAUAACGGCCGUGAUUACAGCGAUAUAUCUCCAGCGCUCUCUAAACGCUUGGGUGUCAAGGGGAGUGUUUUAGAGAGGGUGCGAGGGGCAGCAAUUCAUACGAGGGAGCUGACAGUUCUUUGAUGUGAAAAUGAUGCCCCGAUUUUUACUCCGGGGCGCGCAACCGAAGAAAGAUUACACUGCUUAAACCGAGAAAUUUAAACCCAGAUGAUAAUAGUAACGAGCCGAAGAGGCGAGGUAGGGAAGUCAAUUUUACAACUAGAAAAGCGGUCUCUGAAGGCCUUGUGCAGCCUAUCGGGGCUGAGCGAGUGAAACUAAGUUCCUGAUAAAUCAUUAAUCACGGGCAGCUAAAGGCAAUCAUCCCCGGGCAGCCUCUAAUUACCGGAGGCCCCCGGCCCGCUGCCUGCCGGUGCCACUGGCCCCUUCCCCUCCCGGUGCCCGGGAGGGGCUGCCCAGGGGGGCUCGACCCGAGGCAGCCCGACCCGAGGCAGCCCGGUCCCGGGGGGGCUGCCCCGACCCCCGGUGCCCGGAGCAAGGUGGGCUCCUGCCGCCCGCCCCAGCUGCGCUCUCAGCCCUUCGUUCCCUGACCAACGGGUGAGGAUUAUUAACACAUUAUUAAAACUCCGCUCGGAGCACCUUAAUGAGACCUGCGCUUAUUAGCAAUGGGAGCGAAUUUCACAGGAGUGAAGCGAUCAGUUAAGCCAUGUCUAUAGUUUCCAGACUACGCAAAUGAGGCUUUUACUUAAUUGAAUUGAACUUCUCAUGGCAUUCGGAGGCUGAACUCUAUCCUCCAGCGCAAGAGUUCACAACAACAGUAGCUGAGCUGCAGCCUGAUUUAUACUUCUGGAAUGGAGGCCGUGAGACCAUCAGGCUUUCAAUUCAAUCUAUUCCAGUUUGUAAUGAUUUCCCUAAAAGGAGCCAGUUUUUGGUAUGCAGCAGUGCUAUCACAGACUGCUGCUCUUCCCCAGGAUUGUCAGAGCUUAGACCUUUCAGUUGUCCCAGGCAGUCACCGUGGGCUUGAUCUUAAAUUCAGUGAAGUCUCUGGAAUUUGAAUCAGACCUACAAUGGGAUUACAUGAUUUGAUUGAAGAAGAAAGUCAAGUUGCUUUUUUGCUAGUUACUGCAUGCCAUUUACCAGAAAUCUGGUUGUGCCUCAGAGAAGGUUAAAGAGAAGAAAGGACUUGGGGAUGAGGGACCCGGGAGUGGGGAAAGAAGGGAAGACUGGGAGCAAUACAACCCCUUCAAAAGCAUGCAAGAUACAGAGUUCAUACUUUUGAGAGAUCUGAGUGGUCUUGUUAAUACAAAUAAAUAAGCAAAGCACAGACUAAUAUUUCACUUUGCCGUAGGCUUUCUUGUUGUCAGUAUGGGUUUUUCACUAGGAACCUGGCAGCAGCAAGUCCUAACAAGUAACAAAUUUACAAAUACUUCAUUUUGUACAAAAUUAAGGCCAUGCUGUUCAUGACACAAGCUAUUCAACUUGGGGAGCCCUCUUUGAAGAUCUAUUCUUCCAUAUGUGGAGCUCUGAUAAAGGUGUUCAGGGAAGAUGUAGGUUGUCACAACUCACAUGGUAUCAAAAGGCAUGCUGAGACACUCAGCUCUUGCAUGACAUUGAGCAGUCCCAUUUCUGAUGACUUUGUUCAUCUCUUUUCCCUAUGUCGGGAUACAGUGAAUGUAUA